GACGAACGCUGGCGGCGUGCUUAACACAUGCAAGUCGAACGGAAAGGCCUGCUUUCCCUUGUGGAUUGCGGGUACUCGAGUGGCGAACGGGUGAGUAACACGUGAGUGAUCUGCCCCCAACUUGGGUAUAAGCCUGGGAAACUGGGUCUAAUUCCCGAUAGGACUGCAGGGUGGUGCCUGUGGUGGAAAACGAUUUUCUAGUGGUUGGGGAUGAGCUCGCGGCCUAUCAGCUUGUUGGUGGGGUAAUGGCCUACCAAGGCGGGGACGGGUAGCCGGCCUGGGAGAGUGGACGGCCACAGUGGGACGGAGAUACGGCGCAGACGACUACGGGAGGAAGCAGUGGGGAAUAUUACGCAAUGGGCGGUAGCCUAAGGUAGCGACGCCGCGGGGGGGAUGACGGCCUUGGGGUUGUAAACUCCUGGCGACCGCGAGGAAGCCACCUGGUUGGAAGGGUGGUGACGGUAGUGGUAGAAGAAGCACCGGCUAACUACGUG
Molecule: ribosomal RNA, 494 nt
Filed under: uncultured bacterium
Lineage: Bacteria
Description: partial 16S ribosomal RNA
Rfam family: Bacterial small subunit ribosomal RNA
Source: RNAcentral